GCACUGGUGAGGAGUCCCACAAUAGGACGAUACGGACGUCCAGUGU
Molecule: non-coding RNA, 46 nt
Organism: Schistosoma rodhaini
Lineage: Eukaryota; Metazoa; Platyhelminthes; Trematoda; Strigeidida; Schistosomatidae
Source: Rfam